This 231-nucleotide unclassified non-coding RNA is filed under the name uncultured fungus. RNAcentral's name for it is "sequence contains 5.8S rRNA gene, ITS2, 28S rRNA gene". The record is from RNAcentral. Lineage: Eukaryota; Fungi.
AACGCACAUUGCACCUAGGAGUAUUCUUCUAGGUAUAUCUGUUCGAGCGUCGUUUUAUAAGAUAAGGCUUUGCCUUGCGUUGAUACUUGGUUUUAUCUAUCAAGUAUUCAAACUUGUUGGCAAUUGAAGUGGCCGAUACGCAGCGAUAUGCGAUUGAAAACCAUGGAUGUUUGCCAGUCAUUUUCACAAGUGUUCGACCUCGAAUCAGAUAAGGUUACCCGCUGAACUUAA